RNAcentral lists this ribosomal RNA (249 nucleotides) under uncultured Actinomycetales bacterium. RNAcentral's name for it is "partial 16S ribosomal RNA". It matches the Rfam family "Bacterial small subunit ribosomal RNA", at positions 84 to 334 of the family's 1533-position model. The record is from RNAcentral. Lineage: Bacteria; Bacillati; Actinomycetota; Actinomycetes; Actinomycetales.
GGGGUGCUCGAGUGGCGAACGGGUGAGUAACACGUGAGUAACCUGCCCUUGACUUUGGGAUAACUUCAGGAAACUGGGGAUAAUACCGGAUAGGAGCUCCUGCUGCAUGGUGGGGGUUGGAAAGUUUCGGCGGUUGGGGAUAGACUCGCGGCUUAUCAGCUUGUUGGUGGGGUAGUGGCUUACCAAGGCUUUGACGGGUAGCCGGCCUGAGAGGGUGACCGGCCACAUUGGGACUGAGAUACGGCCCAG